Molecule: long non-coding RNA, 3909 nt
Filed under: Salmo salar (Atlantic salmon)
Lineage: Eukaryota; Metazoa; Chordata; Actinopteri; Salmoniformes; Salmonidae
Description: lncRNA (ENSSSAG00000089824.1)
Source: RNAcentral
GGACAACAUUACUGACAGAGAUUUAAACCAGGUGGACAACACUGUGUCUGAUAUGGACAGGAGACACCAGCACUGCUCUGAUGACCUGCAGAGAAGAGAGGACACAAACAGACAGAGAUUUAAACCAGGUGGACAACACUGUGUCUGAUAUGGACAGGAGACACCAGCACUGCUCUGAUGACCUGCAGAGAAGAGAGGACACAAACAGACAGAGAUUUAAACCAGGUGGACAACACUGUGUCUGAUAUGGACAGGAGAAAGCAGCACUGCUCUGAUGACCUGCAGAGAGGACAGGAGACAAAGAGACAGAUGUACAGAAGACGUUACUUGAAUCGUCUUCCACAUACACGUGAAUAAUGUAUAGUCAUUUGUAAACCCACUGAUCUUGGUGCCCUUUGCUUAAUGUAUUCAACAUGACCCCGGGACAACUUACUCCUUCUAAGGCUGAGAAACAGGUGUGUGAAAAUAUAUGACAGAUAAUGACAACAAUACGACGGGGGGUUUCUGUAUGCAGACAUUGAAUAAUAUCAUGUUCUGUAUAGAUAUGACAACAAUACGACGGGGGUUUUCUGUAUGCAGACAUUGAAUAAUAUAAUGUUCUGUAUAGAUAUGACAACAAUACGACGGGGGGUUUUCUGUAUGCAGACAUUGAAUAAUAUCAUGUUCUGUAUAGAUAUGACAACAAUACGACGGGGGUUUUCUGUAUGCAGACAUUGAAUAAUAUCAUGUUCUGUAUAGAUAUGACAACAAUACGACGGGGGUUUUCUGUAUGCAGACAUUGAAUAAUAUCAUGUUCUGUAUAGAUAUGACAACAAUACGACGGGGGUUUUCUGUAUGCAGACAUUGAAUAAUAUCAUGUUCUGUAUAGAUAUGACAACAAUACGACGGGGGUUUUCUGUAUGCAGACAUUGAAUAAUAUCAUGUUCUAUACCAAAACAUAUUCUUGAAAACAAGUACAGCAUGUAAACCAGAAAUAAAGGCAGAUCAUAGUUUUAAUUCUGUGUCAACAAACUGUUCUAAAAAUAUGUAUCUUGUUCUUCUCGGCUCUGUUGGCUGGUGGAGUUGCUUCAUUGUUAAAUCUAUAUUUUUUUUAAAGGUAUGAUAAAUAUAUAUAUAUAUGUUUUAUAUGAAAAAGGGAUUGGUUUAAAACUGGAGAUUUUAUUUGAUAGAUUUAUAACAUUCAAUUAUGUUUGUUUUUUUUUACAUUUCUUUUAUGUUGAUAAAAUGUUUUGCCUUGAUGAGAACAUGGCAGGCAGGUAGAGGGUGACUAAAAACAAAAUGGCUUCCUUUCAAAACAAUCCCGUUCCGUGUUCACGUGCUAAUCGGAACUUGGACAUUUCAGACAUGCUAACUGGUUGUGGUUACACACGCGCCCGCGUUCAACCAGUUAGAAAGUCUGAAUUUCCUAGUUCCGACUAGCAAGUGAACACGGCGUUAAACCCCCCCAUUUUCCGCGCAGGGAUAUGACAUCAUCAGUAUGAAUCUGCUGCAGGUGUUUUGACGAAUGUUUAUAUGUUGUUGUUUAAAAUAAAAAUUUUUUUUUUUUUUAUCAUUUAAAUGAUUGAUUGUUUUUAAAAAAAAUCAUUUAAAUGAUUGCUUGUUUUUUUAAAACAUUUAAAUUAUUAAUUAAAUAAUUUUUUUAAAAUCAUUUUAAAUGAUUGAUUGUUUUUUAAAUUUUUAUCAUUUUAAUGAUUGAUUGUUUGAUUUUUUAAAACAUUUAAAUUAUUAAUUUUUUUUUUAAAUUUUUAUCAUUUUAAAUGAUUGAUUGUUUUUUAAAUUUUUAUCAUUUUAAUGAUUGAUUGUUUGAUUUUUUAAAGCAUUUAAAUUAUUAUUUUUUUUAUUUUUUUUUAAUCAUUUUUAAUGAUUGAUUGUUAUUUAGUUUUUUAAUCAGAAUGCUGUAUCUCUGUUAAUUGAUUGAAGGCAUCUACCUCAGUGUCCGCAUCACGUUUCAUUUCCAACAGCAGCUGUGACCCCUGGGGUCGUGUUCCAAUGGAAGACAACAGGAAGGGGACUACCUUGAGUUCAACAAUAAGAAACACUCACCCCGUGUUAACUAUGUCACCCCGUGUUACCCCGUGUUAACUAUGUCACCCCGUGUUAACUAUGUCACACCGUGUCACCCCGUGUUAACUAUGUCACCCCAUAUCACCCCAUGUUAACUAUGUCACCCCGUGUUAACUAUGUCACCCUGUGUUAACUAUGGCACCCCAUGUCACCCCGUGUUAACUAUGGCACCCCGUGUCACCCGGUGUUAACUAUGUCACCCCAUGUCACCCCGUGUUAACUAUGCACCCCGUGUCAGGCCCAGUUAAAACAACCAGUAAUGCCCUAUUCGAUGCAGCAUUGUGAUAAACCCUACUGUCUCCCUGGACUGCAGUACAACAUCAACCCAGUACACCAUCAACCCAGUACACCAUCAACCCAGUACACCAUCAACCCAGUACACCAUCAACCCAGUACACCAUAUUAUACAGUGGUAUAGAUAUCACCAUAUUAUACAGGGAACUCAUCACCGUCGACCCAGUCAGAUGUACUGGUAUAGAUAUCACCGUCGACCCAGUCAGAUGUACUGGUAUAGAUAUCACCAUCGACCCAAUCAGAUGUACUGGUAUAGAUAUCACCGUCGACCCAGUCAGAUGUACUGGUAUAGAUAUCACCAUCGACCCAGUCAGAUGUACUGGUAUAGAUAUCACCGUCGACCCAGUCAGAUGUACUGGUAUAGAUAUCACCAUCGACCCAGUCAGAUGUACUGGUAUAGAUAUCACCAUCGACCCAGUCAGAUGUACUGGUAUAGAUAUCACCAUCGACCCAAUCAGAUGUACUGGUAUAGAUAUCACCGAUCGACCCAGUCAGAUGUACUGGUAUAGAUAUCACCGUCGACCCAGUCAGAUGUACUGGUAUAGAUAUCACCAUCGACCCAGUCAGAUGUACUGGUAUAGAUAUCACCAUCGACCCAGUCAGAUGUACUGGUAUAGAUAUCACCCAUCGACCCAGUCAGAUGUACUGGUAUAGAUAUCACCCAUCGACCCAUCAGAUGUACUGGUAUAGAUAUCACCCAUCGACCCAGUCAGAUGUACUGGUAUAGAUAUCACCGUCGACCCAGUCAGAUGUACUGGUAUAGAUAUCACCAUCGACCCAGUCAGAUGUACUGGUAUAGAUAUCACCAUCGACCCAGUCAGAUGUACUGGUAUAGAUAUCACCCAUCGACCCAGUCAGAUGUACUGGUAUAGAUAUCACCCUCGACCCAGUCAGAUGUACUGGUAUAGAUAUCACCAUCGACCCAGUCAGAUGUACUGGUAUAGAUAUCACCCAUCGACCCAGUCAGAUGUACUGGUAUAGAUAUCACCGUCGACCCAGUCAGAUGUACUGGUAUAGAUAUCACCAUCGACCCAGUCAGACCUACUGGUAUUUGACUUCCAUCAUUACAGACAUCCAGUGUCUACAGGGCAGGACAGGGCCGUACGGGGCAGUAGGGGGCAGUAAGGGGCAGUAGGGGCAGUAAGGGGCAGUAUGGGGCAGUAUGGGGCAGUAGAGGGCAGUACGGGGCAGUAGGGGGGCAUAUGGGGGCAGUAGGGGGGCAGUAGGGGGCAGUAAGGGGCAGUAGGGGGCAGUAAGGGGCAGUAGGGGGCAGUGCAGGUCACAAAUGGCGGGAACGGGAAAGAACGGGUCGGGAUCAUAACAUAGUGGAAGCCCAAAUAUUCACUUCACUGUGCUGAGUCUCUUCACGUCAUUCCACACCUACUGAUCCCAUCUCCCUCCCCCAGCACUGAGCCAUCUCACACCCAUCUCCCCCCCCCCCCAGCACUGAGCCAUCUCACACCCAUCUCCCUCCCCCAGCACUGAGCCAUCUCACACCCAUCUCCCUCCCCCAGCACUGAGCCAUCUCCCCACACCCAUCUCCCUCCCCCA